This 305-nucleotide ribosomal RNA is filed under the name uncultured bacterium. RNAcentral's name for it is "bacterial SSU rRNA". It matches the Rfam family "Bacterial small subunit ribosomal RNA", at positions 334 to 631 of the family's 1533-position model. The record is from RNAcentral.
GUGUCCUACGGGGGGCAGCAGUAGGGAAUCUUCCACAAUGGGCGAAAGCCUGAUGGAGCAACGCCGCGUGGGUGAAGAAGGUCUUCGGAUCGUAAAACCCUGUUGUUAGAGAAGAAAGUGCGUGAGAGUAACUGUUCACGUGACGACGGGAUCUAACCAGAAAGACACGGCCAACAACGUGCCAGCAGCCGCGGAAAUACGUAGGUGGCAAGCGUGAACCGGAUGGAUGGGGCGUAAAGGGAACGCAGGCGGUCUUUUAAGUCUGAUGUGAAAGCCUUCGGCUUAACCGGAGUAGUGCAUUGGAA